UUUACUUCAAGAGAUAUUUAUAUUCCAUUGAGAUGAAGGAAAUCAAAGAUAAUAUUAAACUUUUAGAUAUAACCUACCAGUGUAAGGGUUUUUCUAAAGUAAACAGCAUUUUAAAUCUCCAUGGUAACCUGUGACGAUGUAAAAACUUUAAAUCAUUACAAGCCAGAGAGAGCGGUCAUUUCUGAGGAUCAAAUCUGAAGAGAACAGCACGGAAAACUUAAGUGGCUCACGAACUUACAACUUUUGACGGCUUCAUCAUAAAUAAAACCUCACCAGACGACUAAGGACUCCGGCAAACACCUUCGAGAAACACCUGAACAAAGAGGACAACAUCUACGACAUGGAGACCGUAAGAUUUCAUGAUAAUAUUAUCAUACAAACUUGUGUUACUGUCGAGACUUUCGUGAUGCAUCGACAAGAAUUAAAUGUGUGCAUGGAUAUUUACAGUGUUUAUGACUUUAAUGUGACAGGCAUUAUCAAAAUUAACCGAAAAUAAGUGAACAUAGGCGUUUUUUUUGUGUGUGUUACUGUCGAGACGUUCGAAUGGUUAGCUUAAAAGUGAUGCAUUGACAUCACAUGAAAGUCCUGCCCACCAUGUCAAAGACUCUUUGUGCUUAAGAGCAGAAAAGCUCAUGUUAUUGUGCGAAAUCUCUCUAAGAGAUUUUUUAUGUCUUCUGGGCUAUUUAAAGCCGUCAGUCUGAAACUUAUUUGACAGUUUCUCCUUAUACUAACCAAUGCUAUCAGGUGAAAACUAUAAACACAAGCAAUUUUCACACGUAUUACAGCGAAAGAGGCACAUUAAAGGAGUGAAAUGUGGUGUUAAAAUAAGGGACACCUUCAUAACUUUAAAGAAUGACAGUCAUCAUAAAAUUCGACAAAAUAAACUAAAAAGACAUAAUAGUUAGACCUAUUUAUAAAUGCUCUAAUAGGCCUAGGUAACCAAAAAAAUCCUAUGAAUUACAUUUGAACCUAUUUAAAAAGUUACAAAACAGACAAAAUUAAGUUAAAAGUAAUGUCUUAUGUACAGCCUUUAAAAUGAAGAGUUCGAUAAUGUUCCACUGAAAUAUGUUUUCAUGUUUUCAUGGAUCAAGUGUGUGUGUUUUUCUACCACAAUAUUUAAAAUUUCAAUUAUGGGAAAAAUUCACUAAGUGUUAUCGAACCACUGUACUUUUGUGGAAGUCAGUUUUUUAUCAAACUGAAAACAGAGGAUUUUCUUAUUUAAUCCUGAAAAAGUCUUUUUCCCAAUAAAAUAAAAUGACUGAAAUAGACAUACCAAAAAUAUAAAUUCUUAAUAGUGGGUGUUGCAUUGAUGUUAAUCUAUUUCUAUUGCACAAUUAACCUGCUGAUUAGAGACUAAAUUCAAAUUAAAAUGUAUUGACUGUCUCUUCUUGAUGAUACUGAUGUUACAGAUGCUUCCUUCAUGACCUUGACCACACAGUCAAAUGUUUCAGCUUGUUUAAUUUAAAUGUCUGUGUUGUUUCUGUCUUCAGACCAGCCGACGCUUCACACGGACUUGGUCCUUGUGCACAGCUUCCACUGGUCCUGUCCCAAGCCGAUCUUGAAGAGGGUCGUGGCAACACCCAUGUCCCGUUCCAAGCCAAGCUGUGUAAGUAGGAAACCACACUGACAACAUAGAUUGGCCAUUAGCAUGCCCUCAAAACAACGUACAAAACUUUUAUAGUCUGAAUGAUUUUAAUUACAGAAAUAUGUUUAUGAAUUUGUCUUUUUUAAUUUUAAUUUUCUUUAACAUUAAUUUAUUUCAAAGAUGUGAAACCUUCCCCUGGAAAAAUAAUUUCUGCAGACUUCAGAUUUUAUAAUUUGUUGGUUUUUCUGUCUCAGGUCCGAGUGUAGCAGUACAGCCUCGUCCAGAACCAGGAUAAGUCCACUCCUCGGCUGUUACUGAGGAAGGUCCCACCGAUGUUCGGCCCUCCACGUUUCUCCUCCCCCAAGCUCAACCAGGUAAGUCACUCUCACUCCUCUUCUGUCUCUCCCUCUUUCUUUCCCUCUCCUCCUGUCUCUCAAAGAAAAAAAGAAAAAAGAAAGAAAAAAAAAAGAAAAAAGAAAAAAGAAAGAAAAAAGAAAAAAGAAAGAAAGAAAGAAAAAAGAAAAAGGAAAAAAGAAAGAAAAAAAGAAAAAAGAAAGAAAGAAAAAAGAAAGAAAGAAAAAAGAAAGAGAAAAAAAGAAAAAAGAAAAAAGAAAGAAAGAAAAAAAAGAUAAAAAGAAAAAAGAAAGAAAAAAGAAAAAAAGAAAAAAGAAGGAAAAAAGAAAGAAAAAAGAAAGAAAGAAAAGAAAGAAAAAAGAAAAAACAAGAAAGAAAGAAAAAAAGAGAAAAAAAGAAAAAAGAAAGAAAAAAGAAAAAAGAAAGAAAGAAAAAAGAAAGAAAAAAGAAAAAAGAAAGAAAAAAAGAAAGAAAAAAGAAAAAACAAGAAAGAAAGAAAAAAGAAAGAAAAAAAGAAAAAAGAAAGAAAAAAGAAAGAAAGAAAAAAGAAAGAAAAAAGAAAAAACAAAAGAAUGGACCUCGGUCCUUAUGCAAAGCUUCCACUGGUCCUGUCCCAGGCUGAUCUUGAAGAGGGUCGCGGCAACACCCAUGUCCCGUUCCAAGCCUCGCUGUGUAAGUAGGAAACCACACUGACAACAUAGAUAGGCCAUUAGCAUGCCCUCAAAACAACGUACAAAACUUUUAUAGUCUGAAUGAUUUUAAUUACAGAAAUAUGUUUAUGAAUUUGUCUUUUUUAAUUUUAAUUUUCUUUAACAUUAAUUUAUUUCAAAGAUGUGAAACCUUCCCCUUGAAAAAUAAUUUCUGGAGACUUCAGAUUUUAUAAUUUGUUGGUUUUUCUGUCUCAGGUCCGAGUGUAGCAGUACAGCCUCGUCCAGAACCAGGAUAAGUCCACUCCUCGGCUGUUACUGAGGAAGGUCCCACCGAUGUUCAGCCCCUCACGUUUCUCCUCCCCCAAGCUCAACCAGGUAAGUCACUCUCACUCCUCUUCUGUCUCUCCCUCUUUCUCUCCCUCUCCUCCUGUCUCUCAAAGAAAAAAAGAAAGAAAAAAGAAAGAAAAAAAGAAAAAAGAAAGAAAAAAAGAAAAAAAAGAAAGAAAGAAAAAAGAAAAAACAAGAAAGAAAGGAAAAAUAAAAAAGAAAGAAAAAAAAAAAGAAAGAAAAAAAGAAAAGAAAGAAAAAAGAAAGAAAGAAAAAAGAAAAAAAAGAAAGAAAAAAAGAAAAAAGAAAGAAAGAACGGACCUCGGUCCUUGUGCAAAGCUUCCACUGGUCCUGUCCCAGGCCGAUCUUGAAGAGGGUCGCGGCAACACCCAUGUCCCGUUCCAAGCCUCGCUGUGUAAGUAGGAAACCACACUGACAACAUAGAUAGGCCAUUAGCAUGCCCUCAAAACAACGUACAAAACUUUUAUAGUCUGAAUGAUUUUAAUUACAGAAAUAUGUUUAUGAAUUUGUCUUUUUUAAUUUUAAUUUUCUUUAACAUUAAUUUAUUUCAAAGAUGUGAAACCUUCCCCUGGAAAAAUAAUUUCUGCAGACUUCAGAUUUUAUAAUUUGUUGGUUUUUCUGUCUCAGGUCCGAGUGUAGCAGUACAGCCUCGUCCAGAACCAGGAUAAGUCCACUCCUCGGCUGUUACUGAGGAAGGUCACCGAUGUUCGGCCCUCCACGUUUCUCCUCCCCCAAGCUCAACCAGGUAAGUCACUCUCACUCCUCUUCUGUCUCUCCCUCUUUCUUUCCCUCUCCUCCUGUCUCUCAAAGAAAAAAAGAAAAAAGAAAGAAAAAAGAAAGAAAAAAAGAAAGAAAAAAAAGAAAGAAAGAAAAAAGAAAAAGAAAGAAAAAAAAGAUAAAAAGAAAAAAGAAAGAAAAAAAGAAAAAAGAAAGAAAAAAGAAAGAAGGAAAAAAAGAAAGAAAGAAAAAAAAAAGAAAGAAAGAAAGAAAAAAAGAAAGAAAGAAAAAAGAAAGAAAGAAAAAGAAAGAAAAAAGAAAGAAAAAAGAAAAAAAGAAAAAAAAGAAAAAACAAGAAAGAAAGAAAAAAAGAAAAAAAAGAAAAAAGAAAGAAAAAAGAAAGAAAGAAAAAAGAAAGAAAAAAAGAAAAAAGAAAAAAGAAAGAAAAAAGAAAGAAAGAACGGACCUCGGUCCUUGUGCAAAGCUUCCACUGGUCCUGUCCCAGGCCGAUCUUGAAGAGGGUCGCGGCAACACCCAUGUCCCGUUCCAAGCCUCGCUGUGUAAGUAGGAAACCACACUGACAACAUAGAUAGGCCAUUAGCAUGCCCUCAAAACAACGUACAAAACUUUUAUAGUCUGAAUGAUUUUAAUUACAGAAAUAUGUUUAUGAAUUUGUCUUUUUUAAUUUUAAUUUUCUUUAACAUUAAUUUAUUUCAAAGAUGUGAAACCUUCCCCUGGAAAAAUAAUUUCUGCAGACUUCAGAUUUUAUAAUUUGUUGGUUUUUCUGUCUCAGGUCCGAGUGUAGCAGUACAGCCUCGUCCAGAACCAGGAUAAGUCCACUCCUAGGCUGUUAAUGAGGAAGGUCCCGCCGAUGGACGGCCCUCCACGUUUCUUCUCCCCCACUCUCCCCCUGUCCUCUCCCCUCUACCCUCUUCUCUCCACAUUCCUCCCCAACCCAGCAGCGGCAUGGUGGCUGUCUAACAUGAGGCUGGUCCUGCCCAAGGUUUCUGCCUGUUAAAAGGAAGUUUUUCCUUGCCACUGCUACUCAUGUUAGUUGAGAUGGGCCAAAACCCAUCUUAGGUUGGUUCUUGAUCAUCAAACAAUGAGCGUGGUCUAGACCUGCUCUUGUUCCUUGAAAAGCGUCUUGAGAUGAAGACUGUUGUGAAUUGGUAUGGAGCCAGAUCAGGCUCCAUAAAUUGGUGCUAUAUAAAUAAAAUUUGAUUUGAAUUGAUUUUUAUCAGAGCAAUUUCUGAGUUACAUGAAUGAUCCUGAUCCUGUGUCUUCUGCCACUCAGCAAAAACAUAAAAAGAAAGAAAAAAAGAAAGAAAGACCUUUUAAUCGUGUUUGAUUUAUUAACAGUAUUGUGUGAAGGAAAAAAAAAGUCUUUUUAGGGAUGCCGCAGGAUUUCAUGGUUUUAUUCAUGCUGAUAUGACUGAAUGUUGAUAAAAGCAGUGAUGGAUUCUUAUAUCCGAGCUAAAAAAUAUCAAUCCUGCUGAGUUUUCCUGGUUUUCCCUCAGGCUGUUUUUCACUGGAAUUGGUUCACAGCCUGGUCUCUGUACAUUUUGUUGCCUAUUUUGGAGGCUUGUUGUUAGCUGGAAUAGGUGUGCUGAUACAAAAUUGUUUGGUAAAUCACUUUCUAAGUAACUGCACAAUUAUAAUUUAGAAAAAUAAGAGUAAAGUGGGAAAUUUAUGUAAAAUCUUCAUAUUACUUGACUGAAUUAAAUGUUAUUUUUAUGCAGCUGACAUCCUUAUUCACAUAUCUGUAUGCAAGUGGAGUUAUAAAUCAGUUCUAUGUCAUGCCAACAUCACUGUAGGAUAAGAUUCAUUCUAAUCUUAUAUCAUAAGUCUCAGUCUUAUCUUAAUGUACCAUAAGCAGAGCACCUUUCAGCAUUUAGAAAGUUAGAGUGGCACAGAAGAAACCCUCUCACUAAGAAGGCAGAAAACCUGGAGCAGACCAUGACCCCUGCUAAAAAGCCAUAAGAUAGAGACAAAAACGAAGGAGAAAUGGUUCAAAGUUCCUCAGCAUCCCUGGGUCUACCAGAGAGUUAUCUUGAACACAUAGAGUUAAGUCAAUUGUUUUUCUGAUCGGAGCAGCUGGUCCAGCUCAAAGGACACUGGGACACACAGGUGAUUGUACACAGGUGCUUUAAGGUAAUCUGAAAUUGGCCCAGUAAGCUGCUGAGGUUGUUAAAACUACAACCUUUUUCUCCAUGUGCACGGUGUAUGUAGAAGUUACAACUGUAAUUGU
Xyrichtys novacula (pearly razorfish) is the source of this 5902-nucleotide non-coding RNA. Lineage: Eukaryota; Metazoa; Chordata; Actinopteri; Labriformes; Labridae. The record is from the annotation of a GenBank genome assembly.